RNAcentral lists this ribosomal RNA (148 nucleotides) under uncultured bacterium. Its description in RNAcentral is "partial 16S ribosomal RNA". It matches the Rfam family "Bacterial small subunit ribosomal RNA", at positions 372 to 509 of the family's 1533-position model. The record is from RNAcentral.
UGGAACGAAAGUCUGAUGGAGCAACGCCGCGUGAGUGAAGAAGGGUUUCGGCUCGUAAAGCUCUGUUGGUAGUGAAAGAAAGAUAGAGGUAGUAACUGGCCUUUUAUUUGACGGUAAUUACUUAGAAAGUCACGGCUAACUACGUGCC